AUGCCAUGACUCAAGGCAU
Molecule: small nuclear RNA, 19 nt
Filed under: Arabidopsis thaliana (thale cress)
Lineage: Eukaryota; Viridiplantae; Streptophyta; Magnoliopsida; Brassicales; Brassicaceae
Description: snRNA_01809
Source: RNAcentral